UGCAACUAAACCGAAUCUGUAUUGCAGA
This 28-nucleotide small RNA is filed under the name Bombyx mori (domestic silkworm). Its description in RNAcentral is "ovarian small RNA-33336". Lineage: Eukaryota; Metazoa; Arthropoda; Insecta; Lepidoptera; Bombycidae. The record is from RNAcentral.